Molecule: unclassified non-coding RNA, 403 nt
Filed under: Hevea brasiliensis (rubber tree)
Lineage: Eukaryota; Viridiplantae; Streptophyta; Magnoliopsida; Malpighiales; Euphorbiaceae
Source: RNAcentral
CUGAUUCUAUCUCUAUAUAUUGCUGUCUUCAGAAAUUGUACAAGUUGAUACAUUCUUGUUUUUCAAGUGCAAAUUUGGCCUUUUGUGUUUUGAAUUUGAAUUUCAAAGGCAAUAAUUUGUUAAGAACAGGGAGACAGUUGAGUAGGAUGUUUAACGGAAUGAUGGAUCCUGAGUUGAUCAGACUUGCUCAGGAGCAAAUGAGUCGCAUGUCAACCGCCGAGUUAGCCAGGAUCCAACAACAGAUGAUGUCUAAUCCAGAGUUGAUGAAAAUGGCCUCAGAAAGCAUGAAGAACAUGAGGCCUGAAGACUUGAGACAGGCUGCGGAACAGUUAAAGCAGAACAGUUAAAGUAUACCGGUCAUGAGGAUAUGGCUAAGAUUGGUGAGAAAAUGGCCAAUGCAUCA